AACCGGACGUAACUAAACAAGAUGAUGCCUAUCAACUGUUUAAAAGAUGGUUCUGCUAUCACUCUUGGAUGGACCUGCGGUGCAUUAGCUAGUUGGUAGGGUAACGGCCUACCAAGGCGAUGAUGCAUAGCCGAGUUGAGAGACUGAUCGGCCACAUCGGGACUGAGACACGGCCCAAACUCCUACGGGAGGCAGCAGAC
This 200-nucleotide ribosomal RNA is filed under the name uncultured Lactobacillus sp. Its description in RNAcentral is "partial 16S ribosomal RNA". It matches the Rfam family "Bacterial small subunit ribosomal RNA", at positions 155 to 354 of the family's 1533-position model. The record is from RNAcentral. Lineage: Bacteria; Bacillati; Bacillota; Bacilli; Lactobacillales; Lactobacillaceae.